GGUUCUUACUGCACUUGGGAGUUCGGGGUACCUUGUCUCUUCCGAUCGUCUUGUCGGCUGCUUUCCCUACUGAGGUUUGUGCUUCCUGUUUGUAACUGUCUCUUCAACACUGCCUCUUGAACACUGUCCCUCAUGUAAGUCCCUGGUUCCUUUAUUUUGCAGGCCCUCUUGUUGCUGCCUUCACUUGCUUUGUCGUCUACUGCUCUGUUAGCUCGCCGGUUCCCUAUCUUGCUGUGAAGGUACUGCUGCAUUGGUAAAUUCCUAUAGUUGAAAAGAAAUGAUGUUUUGUUUUAUAUGUGGUUGCCACAAUGGGCUGUGAAUAGUGACUCUAUCCAUAGGUGUUCUGAGACCUUUUUGUACCUUGUUAUUUCUUACCUUUGAUUUCCCCUCCAGUCUGACAAAUAUAUUCCAUUCUAGGGAGGGGGAAUACUACGAUUCCACACUGUUUCCGAGGCAAAAUCCAGAGCAAUUUUGUGUCGAGGUUCACACCUUUCUCUUUGUGAUUAUCUAUAUGGGAUUCCAUAUAUAAUAAGAUUUCCCCUUGAUACGAAGUAACUCUUCAGGAAGUUUCAGAUUUAUACGACGAAUUAUGUGCUCUUUAGUAGGGUUAAAGUUUCCACAAGGCUUACCUACCAAAG
RNAcentral lists this long non-coding RNA (638 nucleotides) under Triticum aestivum (bread wheat). RNAcentral's name for it is "long non-coding RNA (TAES_LNC011125)". Lineage: Eukaryota; Viridiplantae; Streptophyta; Magnoliopsida; Poales; Poaceae. The record is from RNAcentral.